CUAAAAGUCAAAAUAGUAAUAGAGAAAAAGGUUGUCUUUUCCUGUACUUAUUUAAGAAAUUGUUAGGUAUUUUAUGACACUGAAAUAGAGCAAUAAUUGAUGUAUUCAACUAUCCGCCUCUGCAUGAUGAUGUGAAAGUGCAAUUUUUCUCUUUGGCUUAAACCACGAAGAAAGGAAUUGGAUAAUCCACAUGAACAAAAGACAUGGAAAAUUUACCCACCAGAAUUUGCAGUAGAGAUUUUUUUUUUUAUUAGAAAUGACUUAUAGUUACGUUGUAGCUGGUAUCUGAUUAAGUGUAGUUCCCCCUUCCCCUUCUGGGAAAGAAUUAUGUCCUUUCCAACCCCUGCCACAUAGUUAUAUGUUCUAAAUCUUCCUUG
This 377-nucleotide long non-coding RNA is filed under the name Theropithecus gelada (gelada). RNAcentral describes it as "lncRNA (ENSTGEG00000000723.1)". The record is from RNAcentral. Lineage: Eukaryota; Metazoa; Chordata; Mammalia; Primates; Cercopithecidae.